Motacilla alba alba is the source of this 10094-nucleotide long non-coding RNA. RefSeq lists it as uncharacterized. The transcript is spliced from 7 exons. The record is from RefSeq and is a predicted model, not a curated record. NCBI's taxonomy places the organism in Eukaryota, Metazoa, Chordata, Aves, Passeriformes, Motacillidae.
AUGUAUGUGUGUGUGUAUAUAUAUAUAUAUAUGGUGCUUUCAAAGAGUAACAAAUCUGUACAAGAAACCAUUAUCUGGAACGUAGUUAGGAACGUUGGGGAAAUAAUAUUCAGGGCAUUUAUUUAAAAAAUUGUACUUGGGCUGAGAGCAUAUGCUAUUCAUGUGCAUCUUCUAAAAAUAUUUUCACAUGCAAAUUACACACCCGCUGGCUGCUCAGUUCUAACCAUGUUGUUACUGCGUGAUGGUCUCUGAGAAACUGAGAAUGGAGUGGGAGGUACCAGCUGAAAACUUUUGCUCUGAAGGUUUUGUUUCUUGGAUUUUACUUUUGCUUGACUUUCUUUCUUUUUCCAAAACCUAACAUGAGAACAUUUCCAAAAUGACACUUCGCAAGUUUAAAUUUUAAUGUAAGAAUAAUAAAGUAACUAAUUAUAUAUGUACCUCUUUUUCUCUGUGUAAUGCUUAAAUAUAUUAAUUAUGUUCUCUUUUUCAAGUACAGACCACAAGAAAGCCAUUGUCUCGCUUAGAUUAUCUUUUUUUGUAUAUGAAAUCAAGGUGACUGUGAUUGUAAACUUUCUUGCAUUCCUCAACUAUUUUUAAGCCCACAAAUAAGUAACAUUACUGAUUGGGAUAGAUACACAUAGUAUCCUUUUGCUAUUGCAUUGCAGUACUUUAACCAAAGGGAGGGAGUUCUUUUUUAAGAGAGAGAUCCUAAAAUAAGAGGCCAGAUUUUUUUUGUCAGCUGCUGCUUGUUUAAACCCUUUAUUUUUUCUGGAGUAAAAACUUCUUACAUUUUUAUGACUCAUUUUCAAAAGUAUAGGAAAAAAAAAAAAGUGCUGCAUUUUUUCCCUACUAUGGUGCCUGUAGCCUUGACAGAGCAGUAGAAAUCUAUAUAUUGCUCUGAGGUAAAGGUAGAUUUCUUUUUUCUUCUUGGGUCUUAUAAGAGUGCCUCUUAUUUUGUCAUCCUUUACAGGAGUGCUUUUUUUGCUGUGUAGAAAGAGAGAAGCUGAACACUUGAUACCUGAUGCAGUGCUCUCAGAAAUCACUGCAAAGAUUCCCAUUUGGGAAUUGCAGCUGGCCUUCAAAAUAAUUUCUUAAUUUUCAUACUAUUCUUAUUUUACCUCCAUUUCCUACAGCCUGUAGGCUUCUGACCCCAUUCUAGUAGGGAACAAUAGCCAAGAGUUACCUUAGUAUCUGUUGUGUUUUGAGAAAUCUUUCUAGUGGGAAAAUACCAGUGAUGAAAUGUUGUUUCUGAAACCCAGGGAAAGCUGACUGCUGUCUGAUAUUAUCAUAGUGGUUAUGUAGUGCAUUUGUGUCCUUAGGAAUCUUCCAGUAGUUAGGAUAUGUUUCUGUUGUGGUGUUGUAUUGUUAGUCUUGUGAAAAUGAGCAAAAAUAGAAAAUGCAGCUUAACGUUGAUGGAAGGAUUUGGAUAGGACUCAGCAUGAGGUAAUAUAACAACAGUCAAAUAAAAUUCAUGUCUCUCUAGUGACAAAGAUACUGGCUAGCUUGAUGUUAAGGACUUGAAAAACUGAUGGGAAAGUUUGGAGUUGCAUUGGUUAAAAGACUUACGAAGUAAGAAGGAUUACAGCAAGCGAAGUGUUUUAAAAUUAAAUGAACAAAUAGUUAACACUUGCCCAGAUGUGAUACGCUGGUUUCUGGUUUCAUACAUUAAUUACUCUUUUAAGGCAGGUUAUAUUUGACUCUCCUUUUUUGUUUGGCCUUUAUACUGUUUUUCUACUCUUCUGUAUGAAAAUCUGGAAUUUCUAAGGUGGUUUUAGGUUUAACUGAUUGACUUCUAGCAGAAUUCCAAGAUGUCUUUUCAGUAGGGUUUCAUUCAUUUUGAGAAUAGUGAUUUUCAGCAGUAGUUGCUAAAGACAGUGUUGUACAGGAAUUUAGGAAAACUGUGAUGGUGUAAAAGGUGCUAUCACUCUUUUGUGUGUGUUUAUAAAAGGGAAAUUAAUACUAAAUUAUAUUUAUGCCAGUAAACAAUAAUUGAUAAAAUGACACUUCCAGAAAGAAUCUUAGUUGUUUUAUUCUGUUUUCAAAGUAAGUUUAUAGGCUGUUUUGCUUUCUUGAACAAAGAAGGGGUAAUCAAACAUAUUAGUUAAAGUUGAACCCUUGUGAAUCUUGAGAAAAAAAAAAAAUCUAAGUAUCUUGGCUGCAGAACCCAGUUCCUGUGUUAGCAGAGCAAAGAAUAUUAAGUAACACACUCGCUGUCCAAGAAAUUGGCCAGUUCUUUUUACACUCCAUAAUGUGUAAAAAGAUAUUGAAGAUAUCUUGAAGAUAUUUUUGAAGAUAUUUUUCAUGUAUUCCGAUACUUUUGAAGGAAGAAGUCUUUUCAGGUAGAAGAUAUUUUUGAAGAUAUUUUUCAUGUAUUCCGGUACUUUCAGAAGGAAGAAGUCUUUUCAGGUAGACUAAUCCUAAGUUUGUAAGAUGUCAAUUGAUACCGACAAAGGAAAAAAGAACAAUGAUUCAUUUUUAAAAGUGAAAUUUGGAAGUGACAGAUUAUUCAUUCUUACUUACUAUUUAAACUUAUACUGAUGUAGCAUUACCUGUCCAUUAGAGACUUUCCCUUUACCUGUCCAUUAGAGACUUCAGGUACCCUCUGGUACUUGAAGCACUUGAGCUACAUUUUAUCACCAUUAUCUUGUGGUUCUUUUCUUAUUAAUCUUGGAGGUUUUUGCAAUCUCCUUUGGUUAAACAUCCAGUGUAAGGAUGCUGAUAUUGUUACAGCCACUUUACACUGGUGUGUGAACAGAGGCUCCAGCUUCUGGCGUGUCUUUCAAGUAAGUGCUGUGCUGUGUAAAUGCAAAGAAAGACUGAUGCUGAAUUCUGAAGAGUUUCAAAAUGCUUGUCCUGUCUCCUCUUUCUGGCCAGCAUAUUGCAUACUUCCCUGAUUUUUCACCGAGUUGCUUGAGUCUAAAGAGUUUGUUAAAGUUGGUAGGACUAAUUCUGUGUGAGCUUAAAGCCCUUGCAAAAUCUUUCUUGUUUCUGAGUUAUCCUGUGGUGGUUUUGUUUGGUUUUUUAAAUGCCUAAAAAUUUUUUUGAAUGUGAAGUCAUUCCUUAGGUAGGGCUAAUGAAAGAAAAUAAUUUGUCUUUAUUAAGGUAUAGGACCCAGAUAUUUUUAUGUGACAGCUUUUAUUUGCUUCUGGUGCUGAAUCACCACAUGAUUUUAUUAUGCUAGUUGCUGUAAGAAUGCAUGUAGUUCUUCACCCUCAAAUAGGAGACAUUUUGGGCCUGGAGACUACUACCCUUUUCUAAUUUUUUUUUUCUUUAAUCUCCAAACUGUUUUUAGAGCAUUUUUUCUGUAAUUCUUGGACCGUGGGUUGACAGGGGGUAUAGAGUGUGGAUGAGUGGGAUCAUGGUGAUAAGAAAAAUUAUUACCUUUUUUCUCUCUAGCCUAAAAUUUCAAAAGUUCAACUUCUAGCUGAAAUAAAAUAUUGCUGAGUUCUGGUUUGCUGAUGUAAAUUUAGCACCUCUCUCCUUCUCAAAUGUUGCAACCCAUUGACCUGUUAAGUGUAUCUAAUUGCAUGUCUUCCCUGUCAAUCUCUCAGCCUCUCUUUGUGCUUUAAAAUUAGAGAUAUGUUCCAAAGCUAUGGUAGUGUUCAGUACUUGUUCUGUGUAAAGCAUCAUUUCUACCUUUGCCUUUAGAACAGAAGGAAUGGCUGUAAUUGUCCUUUUCAGCCUGAUAGUGCUUUUUCCAAAUAUCAGAAAUGUUAUUAACUAGGCAGACUGGUAAUUUUUAUAUAACCUGUGGUGUGCUAAUGCAGAAGUUUUGAGGUGUGCUGAUGUCAUUCUCUGUACACAAUACAGUAUAAUUGACACAACUCUUUGUUUCUCUUUUUUUUUUUUUUUUUUGGUUGCUUUUUUCCUAGUUAAAAGCUUUCAGUAAAGUAAUUUUGCACCUUGGCUAAAACUCAAAACCAAUCAUCUGUUUUUUACAUGGCAGCAGCACCUAGCAAUGUGUGGGCAUACCUGUGUUGGCAACAUACCACGGAGCAUCUCCUUGCAAUUUAUUCUCUCUCCUCUCAGACAGGAUGCAAGGACAGGGGACGUGUUGCUUGGUAGUCAGGUAUUGACCUUCCUUUCUCAACUAGUGUGCCAAACACCACACUUCUAGACAGGGCUGCAAACAUGGAAAUGCAGUUAGUUUUAUUGCAAACAACUAUUUUAAAGUAAAUUUUUUCUUUCUACAACACAAAAGCACUAGAGUUCAUUGUUAAAAGGGAACUUAAAUAUUUAGUAGAAUCAAUUACUCACCUUUAUUAAUCAUAAAAGAUAUUAAAGUUUCUUAACACAAGUAUAAAAUAAAGAUAUAUAUAAGUAGGAAUUUGCUGGUGAAGAUGCUCUGUCAGUUUGAGAAUCUGACUGACCUCUUGUUUUUGGCUUUAGAAUUGCUGGCUUGAUUGUUGUCUCUUGCUGCUUCCUACCUGCAUCUUUGAACCAUGUCCCUUUCUUUCAUGACUUAAUAGUUGAUGUGGGUGCACCAUCCUGUGACCUAACUUCUGCCACUUAAACACUGGUGGAAAAUUUAACUGUUUUCGUGGAUGUUGUUGGAGUAUCCUGUAGUUUAGGUGAGGACGAAUAGGGACAGGCCCUCUGUGCGACCUAGCAAACAGCAGUGGGUACUAAUGAAUGCUUGGGGAAGGCGUGAAAAUAAUGUCUGGAACUGUAGAAUUUAGAAGGUUUUCAGUGUAUAUAAAAAUAUCCUAGAACCCAGUGUUUUAAAACACCUUUUGGAUGGUCCUGAGGCCAAGGUUAGCAAAGCUGCUAAAGUAAAUUUCUUUUUUUCUACAUAUUCUGCUAUUUAUUUCUUGUUGCUGUUGGUACUACUUAAAUAGUGCCUAUAUUGUUUAUAGUAGUGCCCACAGUAUUAAUAUUUGAAGUUACUUACAAUAGCAGGUAUUAAAUGUUCAAAUGAAAUCAUUAUUUAGAAGAUGAAGUUUUUUUUAUUUAGUUUGUUUGGCAGAGGUCAUGUAUUGUCAUGCAGCAUAGAUAAACUGUCACUAUUUCAUACUUCAGAACAGAGGAUUUUACUGAACUAAUAUAAGGCAAAUUUAUUUUGUAAUGCAGCUUGGGUAACCAUGUUUUUAUAAAACAUUUCAACUUCUUUUGUUAUUACUUGUGGAUUGUUUUAGUGAGGGCUUCUUAAAUUAUUUUUUUUUUGUAAUUAGCAACGCUGCGCCAUAUUUCAUGCAUGAAAUAAAGAUGUAAACUUAUGCACAAAUCCAAAAUGGAGGUCCUUAUCAGAGCAAAACUGGGGGAACAAAACAAAAUGGCAGGACUAUAGCAGAAGUUCCCAAACUUACUCAGCUGAAGUUUGGUCACUGACCUUGAUAUCUAAAGGACUGUUGGUGCCAGUGGUGUUAAUUUCUCUUUACAGGGAUUUUUUAGGUUUAUAGGUUUCUCUCAGGGCAGGACCUCUAUCCCACAGUCAUCAACCUGUGGACCUCCUGAAGCCAGGACCCGACCCUGUGCUUAGGAGUUCAUCACCCCCUACUUCAUUCCAUCCUUUUGUCAUCCAUCAAAAUCUACCUCUGUACAGCAGGUCCCCUUGGAAAGCUGCUCUCAUAGCAGUACCUGAUUGGAAGACAUUUGAAGUGAAAUGCAAGCGUGGUACUGGUUCUAAGUACAGUUGGAAGUGCUAUAAUGUUCCAUGCUUAGGAAUAGUGUGUGGCAAGUGACUGGUCCCACAAACCCUUCUGCAGAUAAGUAAUCCUAUCAAAGGCAGUUGAGUGCAUUUGAUUAAGGAUUACAUGCGGUAAGUGGGCUGCAAGGUUGAGAGUACAACUUGUAUCAUUAAUGAGUAUUCACAUGUUAAUGCUGCUUUGAUAGAGAUUGAACUAGAUGACCUUUUAGGCCUGUUCCUACUAGAAUGAUUUUUUGAUUAUCACACUUGUAUUAUGCAAAUAGAUAACUUCAUUUAUUAAAAAAAUCAUUAGUUGGAUAAGCUAAACUCUCAUAAGUCACUGCCAUUAUUUUACCUAAUUGCAUUAUGUAGUAGCAUGGAGCUGCAAAUUUGACCCAAGUUUAAGAUUUAAAACAAUAAGAGGAAUACACCCAUGCCUUUUUUGUGUAUUGUUUCAAAUUCUUUGUAUACAGUUUUAUGUCAGAUUGAAUUCCUUUUGUAGGAAUUCUUUCCUAGCAUACAGUUGACUUAUUCUAGAAUUAGUCCAGAGCAGAGUGCCUGAAAAUUUGAUGCUUUAUGUGCAAUUGAGGUGUGUGAAUGGAUUUAAACUUACUCUGCCUAAUUCAGGUACCACUAGUACUGAGACUAUGGUAACAGAGGCAUCAGUGCAGGUUAGCAGCCUAAGAAAGGCUUAAAGCCCUAAAAACUUUCCAAGCAAGGACUCAAUGUGAGAGGGCAUUCUUACGUUUAAAAAAAAUCCCAAACCCACUACCACCUCAACAAGCCCCCCCACUGUUAGAAUAUACUAUGUAGAAUCUGAAUAUGUGUAGAUGUUGAGACAGAGCUGGUUGAGUUUAAUAAACAAUAAUCCUUCUCAUGUGCAGGGAAUCAUAUGGAUUUUCUUCCUGUGUCUGGAUAAACUUUGUACCCAUUGAUACUUCUAUAACUGUUCUCAUUUAGUAUUGUUAAUUACUUACUUUUAAGCAAGAAGUUGGUGACAGGAGAGGAAAUCUCUUAACUGCUGCCUGUUAAAAGGCCGAUCACUUUCACUUGCAUGCAAUCAGAAAUGUUUUUAUGUAACAUUUUAAGCCUCCCAAUAGUUGCAUUAAUCUCAGUAACAGGCUAUAGUUGCUGUCAUGUCUUAUUUCAGGAAAACACUUGGUUGUAUGCUUUUAUUUAAAAAUACAAGGAGUAUGGUAACAUCGCAAGUAAUGUGUUACGGACUUGGCAGGUCUCUUGGGCUUUUAGGGAGUAUAGAAAGCAAUUAAAAGGAAUAAGAGGUGCUAGGAAGGAGUGGAGUUAUUUCUUUAUGCUGCUCUGCACCACAACGAUGUUGUGGGCAUUUUAUUCUUUUCAAAUAAUGUUGAUUGGAUGUUACCUGAUUAUGGGAUUAGAUUGGUGAAAGACUGAAUGCUAGAAUGAAGUGCUAAAGACUCCUGAGUCACCAGGACUCCAUGCUAUUCAUUCCUUUAGUGGUUCUAAAGGAUGAAGUGGCUGAUCUGCUAAGAAGAAUGCAUCUCGUUAGGAUGAGAUGCUGUGCCGGGAGACCGGAAGCUAUCAAGUGCUGUACAUACUGUACUUCUAAACGGAACACAAAGAGCAGAGCUGGAAUUUGCAGACCAAGGACUCUUAUUUUAAUGCCACUUAAGUAGCUUUGAAUUCUGCAUGGGUAGUCUAGCAGUUCUGUGAGCACAAGAUACAACAGCUUUCUAUGCAGUGGUAUCUUAGAGGUAAUGAAAAAUACCAGCUGCAGCUGGGGUACUUGUCAUGUGUCUCUUGCUUGUGUGCUUGUUCCCUAAUAACAAGGGCAUAGACUGCAGUCUGUCCUUCACUUUGGCCUGUUUGUGGGUUGGUCUUCUAUAUCUAUCUGCCCAGUACUUGGAUUUCUGAAAUCUCUGAAUUCUUAUUAAACCAUGAAUGACUUUUCAGUUUUCCUUUUUGAUAAAGUCUGAAAUGAGGGAGUGGAUUUGAAAGUUAGAAAAAGCAAGGCCCAACCUAAGCAGAGAUGUUUAACUGCAUUAAUCUCUUCUGUGUUUAGCAGUCUAAACACUGACUAAGUUGCUUCUGUUAUUAGUAGACAAGAGAAGGAUGAACCUAUAUACUGAUAAACUCACGCACCCUGUUUAGUUCAUCCCACCUUAAACUUGCAGCAUAUGGCCUUUGGCAGGAAAUUGUACCCCACAGAAUUUUGGUGAGGCUCUACAAGUUGUCAUUUUUGAUGCCAUUGUGGGUAUGAUGACCCGUGAUGCAGAGGAAAUGAAAGUUAAAGCAGUCCAGUAGUAUGCUGUGCUGCUUUCAGUGGCAAAGCUGUGAUGUACCUUGUAGUUCACACUCAGGUGACAACAGCAGUUUCUUAAGUACUGACAUUUAUAGCCUCAAUUAGCUGUGUAGUCUUGUUCCCUCACUUUCCCUCCUGUUUUAUUAGCACAGUGAUUUGUACCAUCAUGCAGUGACUUGAAUCAGAAAAUUGAUCCUGACUUUGAGAGGGGUGUGUGGCAAGCAGCAAUUUCUAACCCAAGCUAGUUCCUCACUCUGGUCUAGUGGGUGGCUUCACCAGGAGAUGGAAUCAUGGCCUAAGGAUCAGAACAAGCAGCAGGAGGGUCCUCUGUCUUUGAACUGGCAUUUUACCAGAAUAGAUGCUCAUCAGAUUAUGCCUCUGGAAUCUGUGACUCAUCUUGCCCUCAAUUCAAUUACUUCAGAUGAUCUGUAAAUUUUCAAUAAUGGCAAUACAUUCAUUCUGCCAUUUGGAGGAGCCUGUGCCACAGAAUAAUGAUCUGAAGAAAGCUCACUCAUUUGCAAGAGUCUUCAUUUGGGAAUUAGCACUGAUGCAGCUCAAGGGUGCUUUUUCAAGUCCAGGCACUUGAAUUUCUUGUAUUCUCAUUGCAAACUGUGGGGAUUCUUUAACUGGCGAUCAGUUUGGUGUUCCAACCAGCAGACAAAUAAAUGAUAAUUUGGGAAAAAAACCCAACAGCCAAAUGCUUCUUAUCAGACUCUUUCAGCUGAAGUGUUAUUUUCCCAACACAACCUCUGGUACAAGGAUAAAAUUGGGUUUUUUGGUCAAAGAACAAAGUCCUGUAUCUGAAGAGUAAGAAGGUCCUUGACAUUCAGUGGGAUGAGAAUCUCAGAAAUGACUACUGGGGACUCCCAAGCUACAGAUCAGAAACCAUUUUGGUAGGAGUGGGUUGCUUGUCAGAAAUCCGUUCCGAAGCUCGAGUGCAAAGGAAGCAGGGUACUAAUGAUGAAUAAGAAUGGAUAUCUUGAGGAUAACAAUGGAUAUGGCAUCUUCAAAAGCAGUGGCAUUCUGGUCCUAGUCCUGUAACUGGAUUUGUUCAAAUGGACCUCAAUAGCCUGGGGGCCUGAUGAAGUUCAUGGGACUCUGGUGGCUGCAGGUUCCCGCUCUGAAGAUCUGAUUGUAGGCCUGAACCUAAAUUUCUAUUUUGUUUUCCUGUGUGUUUGCUUCUUAAAUGAUGAAAGUUAUCCUUUAAAAUGGUGUUGUCUUUGAUUCUCAUGCACAUCCACUCUAGUAGUGUUCAGACACUGUGUGCCUGGGAUGUUGUCAGACAUUGUUAAAAUAUUUCUGUUCUGUUGUGUGCCUAAACCUCAUGAUUGCACUGAUUAUUGUGUUAGAUUUUUCUAUUUAGUGCCUUUCUACCUAAAAUGGAGAAGAUCAUCACCUGUGUUUUCAAUCAUUGUGGUAUUUCUCUUAACUCAGAUUUUUAAGUCAGAGUAACUGUUGAAACUGUUAUGUUUAAAGAUGUAGGUAGAUUUGUUUCUUUCUGGCUGGACACAAAGUAUAAUAUUUUAUUUUGCAAACUUGGUAGCCUAGUAUUACUGAAAGCUUUCAGUAUGAUGAUAUGCUGAUUUAAUAAAAUAAGUAGGAAAUUACCCUUUUACUAGCUCUCCUCCUGCUUUUCUAUUCCUGUGGCUGUGGUUACACAACAUACAACUGAGAGUGAAGAUAUUUGUAUUUUUUGUGAGCCAGUGUAUACCUUUUGUUGACAAUAAGUUCCCUGUCCUAUUCCAUAUUGCAGUUUAACUGAAUAGUAAAGUUACAGCCUUGGCAGAAGCUGUAGAAAGGACUUUGAAAAAUCACAUGUAGGGUGUGAUCACAAAUAGAGUGUGAUAGGAAAAAUAGAUGUGUUCUAUCGCUAUACAUGUUAGUAUUUAUGUUGCAUAUAUUUUUAAAGCAAGUACUUAGCAGUGUAUGAUAAUUAAAAGAUUAAAAGAUGCAGACGUCCUUUGUAUACAGAGAAUCAGAAAAAAUUUUUUAGUUUUUUUAGGCUUAUUACAAUGAUAUUAAGGAGCUUCACAGUAUUUGAUGAUACUAAGGAGCUUCACAGUAUUUUAUGAAUUUUUGCAUAUUCCCUGAACAGAAAAGCACCAUUUUCCUGUUAGACCAAGAGAAAACUGAGCCACUUUUUUAGUCAGUAGUAAAAGUCAAUGAUAUUAAAUGGAUUCUCCUGUCCUU